AUUGAACGCUGGCGGCAUGCUUUACACGUGCAAGUCGAACGGCAGCGCGGGCUUCGGCCUGGCGGCGAGUGGCGAACGGGUGAGUAAUGCAUCGGAACGUGCCCAGUAGUGGGGGAUAGCCCGGCGAAAGCCGGAUUAAUACCGCAUACGACCUGAGGGUGAAAGCGGGGGACCGAAAGGCCUCGCGCUAUUGGAGCGGCCGAUGUCGGAUUAGCUAGUUGGUGGGGUAAAGGCUUACCAAGGCGACGAUCCGUAGCUGGUCUGAGAGGACGACCAGCCACACUGGGACUGAGACACGGCCCAGACUCCUACGGGAGGCAGCAGUGGGGAAUUUUGGACAAUGGGGGCAACCCUGAUCCAGCCAUGCCGCGUGCGGGAAGAAGGCCUUCUGGUUGUAAACCGCUUUUGUUCGGGAAGAAAUCCUCUGGGCUAAUACCCCGGGGGGAUGACGGUACCGGAAGAAUAAGCACCGGCUAACUACGUG
Molecule: ribosomal RNA, 484 nt
Filed under: uncultured bacterium
Lineage: Bacteria
Description: partial 16S ribosomal RNA
Rfam family: Bacterial small subunit ribosomal RNA
Source: RNAcentral